This 442-nucleotide ribosomal RNA is filed under the name uncultured bacterium. RNAcentral's name for it is "partial 16S ribosomal RNA". It matches the Rfam family "Bacterial small subunit ribosomal RNA", at positions 338 to 795 of the family's 1533-position model. The record is from RNAcentral.
CCUACGGGAGGCAGCAGUGAGGAAUAUUGGUCAAUGGGCGCAAGCCUGACCCAGCAACGCCGCGUGAAGGAAGAAGGCUUUCGGGUUGUAAACUUCUUUUGUCCGGGAAGAGUAGAAGACGGUACCUGACGAAUAAGCCACGGCUAACUACGUGCCAGCAGCCGAGGUCAUACGUAGGUGGCAAGCGUUGACCGGAUUUACUGGGUGUAAAGGGCAUGUAGCCGGGUUGACAAGUCAGAUGUGAAAUCCUGCGGCUUAACCGCAGAACUGCAUUUGAAACUGUUGAUCUUGAGUACUGGAGAGGCAGACGGAAUGCCUAGUGUAGCGGUGAAAUGCGUAGAUAUUAGGAGGAACACCAGUGGCGAAGGCGGUCUGCUGGACAGCAACUGACGGUGAGGCGCGAAAGCGUGGGUAGCGAACAGGAUUAGAUACCCUUGUAGUC